This 253-nucleotide ribosomal RNA is filed under the name uncultured bacterium. Its description in RNAcentral is "partial 16S ribosomal RNA". It matches the Rfam family "Bacterial small subunit ribosomal RNA", at positions 524 to 776 of the family's 1533-position model. The record is from RNAcentral.
UACGAAGGGGGCUAGCGUUGUUCGGAAUUACUGGGCGUAAAGCGUGCGCAGGCGGUUUUUCAAGUCAGGGGUGAAAGCCCAGAGCUCAACUCUGGAAUUGCCCUUGAAACUGACAAACUGGAGUACGAGAGAGGUGAGUGGAAUUCCCAGUGUAGAGGUGAAAUUCGUAGAUAUUGGGAAGAACACCGGUGGCGAAGGCGGCUCACUGGCUCGUAACUGACGCUCAGGCACGACAGCGUGGGGAUCAAACAGG